This is a long non-coding RNA of Cebus imitator (Panamanian white-faced capuchin), 1522 nucleotides long. RefSeq lists it as uncharacterized. The transcript has 2 exons. The record is from RefSeq and is a predicted model, not a curated record. Lineage: Eukaryota; Metazoa; Chordata; Mammalia; Primates; Cebidae.
CCACUGCACUCCAGCCUGGGUGACAGAGUGAGAUUCUGUCUCAAAAAAAAAAAAAGUUAAUUGCUUUUGAAGUCAUCACCCUUGAUUCCAGAAGACUGUUGUUAGAGGGUGAUUAAUUUUGUUUGUUUGCUUACUUCUGAAGCAUUUCUUUGAACUUGAUCUGUGGGAGUCUAAUCCUGUUAACCUUUGGAGUUCUUUAACCACAAAUUUCCAGCCACUUUCUGGAUCAGAGCAGUUACAGUGUAUAAGAUGAGGGAAACCCAGUUUUCCAGCCAAGUGAACUCCAUAGGAUUCUGCAAUACAUAGAAAUAUCCAACAUUCCUCUUCCUCAAAGAUAAGAGAAACCGCUGGGGCCCAUUUCUCUCAGCCCAUCCAGAGGUUAUCUGGGAUGUUUAGGAAAUCUGUGUAUUCUCCAACACUUAGGGAGACUUCACAAAACUUUGCAAUGUGGUCUUAUACAUUGCAGAGAAAUGUGCUUUCUAUCCAGGGCAUAGAAAGCACAGUUAUCUUAUAAUAUUCCUGUAAAAUGGUUGCUGAGGGGAUGUUUAAUGUUGUUACACAGGAAACUGUGCUGAGUAGGGGCUUUUGUUUUCAGAUGAGACUCUGGACAGGAAGUGAAUCUUCACAAGGAAGGAAGCAACAAAAUUCUACCUUGGCUUUUGCUGGCUGAGCAGGGAAAGGCCUGUAGACACAGGGCAUUUUGGGCAAGAGCUGGAACAGCCCUCCCUGGAGCAGCCCUCCCUGGAGGACUACAUAAAGCAGCCAGUAUUUUGCAAAGCAUAGGGAAGAGUGAAAGUCAUCAGGGCAUUUGCAAACACAAAACAGCCCUGAAGCGAAACACCAGCAUGUACUGGGCAGGACUUGGGAGAUAAGACAGGACAUCCGAAGCUAAACAUGGAUCCCCUCUGAAAGCUACAAUCAAAUUGUCAUCCACACAAUCUUAUCUCAAGCCUUGACUAGAGAAGGACCUACUUCCAAGAUUACAUCGUUGAAUGAAUUCAGUCCUUGCAGCCCGUUGAACUGCUGGCCUCCCCAACAUACUCGCCUGCUUCAUUGAAGUCUGCAAGACAGAGAGAGAGAGAGUCCACUAACAAGAGAACACCACAGUCUUAUCUAAUGUAAUCACUGAAGUGGCAUCCUGUCACGUUGGUCACCUUUUCUAUCCCGUUCAUUAUAAAUGAGUCCCAAGUCCUGCCACACUCAAGUGGAGGGGAUUACACACGGCUGGAGUAUCAGAGGUGGGGAUAAUUGGGGGUAAUCUUGGAGUUCUUCCAUCACACAGGAAUUCUCAGCUGACCAAAUCUGGGAUUCUGCAUCUGGCUAUUCCUGAAGCUGGAGGGCUGGCAUAUUUUUCAGUGUCCAUUUGGAUCAGCUGAUAAACCCAGGGUUUGUCUGCUGGCUGGAGGAGUAAAAACUAUAAGGCUAAUUGAAAUGAAUCUACUUAAAACAGUGACCUGAUUUAUCUAAUAAUUACUAGAAGGUAAGGGUUGAUUGAGACUUUAAAAUAAAACCAAAAAUUAUU